RNAcentral lists this ribosomal RNA (439 nucleotides) under uncultured bacterium. Its description in RNAcentral is "bacterial SSU rRNA". It matches the Rfam family "Bacterial small subunit ribosomal RNA", at positions 338 to 774 of the family's 1533-position model. The record is from RNAcentral.
CCUACGGGAGGCAGCAGUGAGGAAUAUUGGUCAAUGGCCGGAAGGCUGAACCAGCCAUGCCGCGUGAAGGUCAGUGCCCUAUGGGCGUUAAACUUCUUUUGUGCGGGAGCAAUAAGGUCCACGUGUGGGCCGACGAGAGUACCGUACGAAUAAGCAUCGGCUAACUCCGUGCCAGCAGCCGCGGUAAUACGGGGGAUGCAAGCGUUAUCCGGAUUUAUUGGGUUUAAAGGGUGCGUAGGCUGUGAGGUAAGUCAGCGGUGAAAUGCCCCCGCUCAACGGGGUGAAGUGCCAUUGAUACUGCCUUGCUGGAAUGCGGAUGCCGUGGGAGGAAUGUGUGGUGUAGCGGUGAAAUGCAUAGAUAUCACACAGAACACCGAUUGCGAAGGCAUCUCACGAAUCCGCGAUUGACGCUGAUGCACGAAAGCGUGGGUAUCAAACA